CAGCCGCCGCGGGAAUACAGAGGGUGCGAGCGUUAAUCGGAUUUACUGGGCGUAAAGCGUGCGUAGGCGGCUUUUUAAGUCGGAUGUGAAAUCCCUGAGCUUAACUUAGGAAUUGCAUUCGAUACUGGGAAGCUAGAGUAUGGGAGAGGAUGGUAGAAUUCCAGGUGUAGCGGUGAAAUGCGUAGAGAUCUGGAGGAACACCGAUGGCGAAGGCAGCCAUCUGGCCUAAUACUGACGCUGAGGUACGAAAGCAUGGGGAGCAAACAGGAUUAGAUACCCCAGUAGUCCCUGUCUCUUAUAC
RNAcentral lists this ribosomal RNA (301 nucleotides) under uncultured bacterium. RNAcentral's name for it is "partial 16S ribosomal RNA". It matches the Rfam family "Bacterial small subunit ribosomal RNA", at positions 509 to 807 of the family's 1533-position model. The record is from RNAcentral.